AGAGUUUGAUCAUGGCUCAGGAUGAACGCUAGCGGCAGGCCUAAUACAUGCAAGUCGAACGGAUAUAGAGACUUCGGUUUCUAUAUUAGUGGCGCACGGGUGCGUAACGCGUAUGCAACCUACCUUUUACUGGGGGAUAGCCCGGAGAAAUCCGGAUUAAUACCGCAUAACAUCACAUGAGGGCAUCCGAGAGUGAUUAAAGAUUUAUUGGUAAAAGAUGGGCAUGCGUGCCAUUAGCUAGUUGGUGGUGUAACGGACCACCAAGGCGACGAUGGCUAGGGGUUCUGAGAGGAUGAUCCCCCACACUGGUACUGAGAUACGGACCAGACUCCUACGGGAGGCAGCAGUAGGGAAUAUUGGGCAAUGGACGCAAGUCUGACCCAGCCAUGCCGCGUGCAGGAUGAAGGCCUUCUGGGUUGUAAACUGCUUUUAUCUAGGAAGAAAAAACCCUUGCGAGGGGAACUGACGGUACUAGGUGAAUAAGCACCGGCUAACUCCGUGCCAGCAGCCGCGGUAAUACGGAGGGUGCAAGCGUUGUCCGGAUUUAUUGGGUUUAAAGGGUGCGUAGGCGGCCCGUUAAGUCCGUGGUGAAAGCCAACAGCUCAACUGUUGAACUGCCAUGGAUACUGACGGGCUUGAGUACAGACGAGGUAGGCGGAAUGGAUGGUGUAGCGGUGAAAUGCAUAGAUACCAUCCAGAACACCGAUUGCGUAGGCAGCUUACUAGGCUGUAACUGACGCUGAGGCACGAAAGCGUGGGGAGCGAACAGGAUUAGAUACCCUAGUAGUCC
RNAcentral lists this ribosomal RNA (790 nucleotides) under uncultured bacterium. Its description in RNAcentral is "bacterial SSU rRNA". It matches the Rfam family "Bacterial small subunit ribosomal RNA", at positions 8 to 796 of the family's 1533-position model. The record is from RNAcentral.